GUGUCAGCCGCCGCGGUAAGACAGAGGGUGCAAACGUUGCUCGGAAUCACUGGGCGUAAAGGGCGUUUAGGCGGGAAGGAAAGUCAGAUGUUAAAUCCCUGGGCUCAACCCAGGAACUGCAUUUGAAACUCCCUUUCUUGAGUGUCGGAGAGGAAAGUGGAAUUCCUGGUGUAGAGGUGAAAUUCGUAGAUAUCAGGAGGAACACCGGUGGCGAAGGCGGCUUUCUGGACGACAACUGACGCUGAGACGCGAAAGCGUGGGGAGCAAACAGGAUUAGAUACCCCCGUAGUCC
This 292-nucleotide ribosomal RNA is filed under the name uncultured bacterium. RNAcentral's name for it is "partial 16S ribosomal RNA". It matches the Rfam family "Bacterial small subunit ribosomal RNA", at positions 505 to 796 of the family's 1533-position model. The record is from RNAcentral.